GCCCUACGGGGCGCAGCAGGCGCGAAACCUCCGCAAUGUGAGAAAUCGCGACGGGGGGACCCCAAGUGCCAUUCUUAACGGGAUGGCUUUUCUUAAGUGUAAAAAGCUUUUGGAAUAAGAGCUGGGCAAGACCGGUGCCAGCCGCCGCGGUAACACCGGCAGCUCUAGUGGUGGCCAGUUUUAUUGGGCCUAAAGCGUUCGUAGCCGGUUUAUUAAGUCUCUGGUGAAAUCCCGUAGCUUAACUAUGGGAAUUGCUGGAGAUACUAGUAGACUUGAGGUCGGGAGAGGUUAGAGGUACUCCCAGGGUAGGGGUGAAAUCCUGUAAUCCUGGGAGGACCACCUGUGGCGAAGGCGUCUAACUGGAACGAACCUGACGGUGAGGGACGAAAGCUAGGGGCGCGAACCGGAUUAGAUACCCGGGUAGUCCUAGCCGUAAACGAUGCGGACUUGGUGUUAGGAUGGCUUUGAGCCGCUCUAGUGUCGAAGGGAAGCUGUUAAGUCCGCCGCCUGGGAAGUACGGUCGCAAGGCUGAAACUUAAAGGAAUUGGCGGGGGAGCACCACAACGCGUGGAACCUGCGGUUUAAUUGGAUUCAACGCCGGG
Molecule: ribosomal RNA, 602 nt
Filed under: uncultured Methanobrevibacter sp.
Lineage: Archaea; Methanobacteriati; Methanobacteriota; Methanobacteria; Methanobacteriales; Methanobacteriaceae
Description: bacterial SSU rRNA
Rfam family: Archaeal small subunit ribosomal RNA
Source: RNAcentral